RNAcentral lists this ribosomal RNA (645 nucleotides) under Meloidogyne javanica (root-knot nematode). RNAcentral describes it as "eukaryotic LSU rRNA". It matches the Rfam family "Eukaryotic large subunit ribosomal RNA", at positions 440 to 952 of the family's 3401-position model. The record is from RNAcentral. Lineage: Eukaryota; Metazoa; Nematoda; Chromadorea; Rhabditida; Meloidogynidae.
UAUUCAGUUACAUUAUUUUUAUGUUGUGACCUCUGAGCUCCAGAUUGGGACAGAGGGAAUCAGCAUAAUUUUUUGUGGUGCAUUUACUUGAUUGGUGCUUGGGGAUGUUUGAGGCAGAUUUGUUUCCGUCGUUUUGAGGCCAGCUUGCUGGUACCCAAACGGUGUUAGCAUUUUUUGUCUUGGGCAUUUGAGUAUGGCUCACGUGUAUUUAUUGGACAGAUCUGAGUGUAAGUUACGGUCGCAUGCGACACGUGCUUUUCAAUUAGUUCGGUCCAGUUAAUGCUCUCGUACUCGUUCCCCAUGUAAAAGCCGGUCAUCUAUCCGACCCGUCUUGAAACACGGACCAAGGAGUUUAUCGUGUGCGCAAGUUUUUGGGUGUUAAAAACUUAAAAGCGAAAUGAAAGUAAAUGACUCUUUAGAGUCUGAUGUGCGAUCUUGUAAAAAAGUGUAGCAUGGCCCCAUUCUAACUGUUUACAGUAGGGUGGCGGAAGAGCGUACGCGGUGAGACCCGAAAGAUGGUGAACUAUUCCUGAGCAGGACGAAGCCAGAGGAAACUCUGGUGGAAGUCCGAAGCGGUUCUGACGUGCAAAUCGAUCGUCUGACUUGGGUAUAGGGGCGAAAGACUAAUCGAACCAUCUAGUAGCU